RNAcentral lists this long non-coding RNA (2736 nucleotides) under Notechis scutatus (mainland tiger snake). RNAcentral describes it as "lncRNA (ENSNSUG00000005665.1)". The record is from RNAcentral. Lineage: Eukaryota; Metazoa; Chordata; Lepidosauria; Squamata; Elapidae.
AAGAAUUCUUUGCAACUUGGAAAUUGUAUUUCGCGGGAGGCCUCGGCCGCCCCUUCGGCCGCUGCACUCGGCCGGCUCUUACAUGCGGAGCAAUUCCACUGGGGUGGUUUACAAUUCCACCCUUUCGCUCCCGGCGUCCUGCCGUUCGUUUCCCCGCGUGUUCCUGGGCACCUCACCCUUUCCUAGAAUGGGGCUUCGUUUCCAGGAUGAGGAGGGGACUGGAGACUAAGACAUAUGAAGAACGGUUACAGGAACCGGGCCUGGCUAGUCUAGGGAAGAAGAGAAGGACCGGGGGAGACAGGAGAGCAGCCUUCCAAGAUUUGAGGGGCUGCCCCAGAGAGGAGGAGGAAGGGGCCAAGCUAUUUUCCAAGGUACCUGAAGGCCAGACAAGGAAUCAUGGAUGGAAACUGAUCAAAGGGAGAUACAACCUGGAAAUAAGGAGAAACUUUCUGACCGUGAGAACAAUCAACCGAUGGAACAGAAGUGGCCUUUGGAAGUUGUGGGAGCUUCAUCCCUGGAGGUUUGGACUGCCAUCGGUCAGAAAUGGUGUAGGGUCUCCCGCUUGGGCGGGGGGAGUUGGACUAGAUGACCUACAGGGUCCGUCCCAACUCUGAUUACCUGUUUAUCUUCUGACCUUCCAGGGAUAUUUCUGGCUUCCAGGCUGAGGUGCCCCCCACACCCACCCCGCCCCUCCCCCACCCCGUCCUCCAUCCCAUGCCUGGAGGGCCCCCUCCUGGCCCCCCUUCGCUCCUCUCUCUCCCCCGUCGGGUGGUGGGCCCCAGGGACCCCAGGAGGCGGCCUUCCCAGCCGCUGAAGCCCCCCAGCCGUUUGGCUGGCCAGCACAACCCCCGGCUGUUCCUGGAAGCCCCUCCCCAAGCACAGGCUCUGUUCGCUAAGCACCAGCAGCCCCUCAAGGGGUCCCAACUCCCCCCCCCAAGAGAAGAAGGCCCUUCACGUUGAGGCCCCAGGAGGACUCGGCUCCACUCCUCCUGCCAAGAGGGCCUGCCCUGCAGAAGAGAUUUGGCCUCUUGACCGCUGCAGCAGGAGCAGCCCACAGAGUAGCAGCAUUUCCAUCCGAGCAAUUCCUAGCCCACGUGGAGCUUUUGGGGGUGGAAGGGGGGGGGUCAUUGGCAGAGGAGGGGGAUGGGAAAAUCUGCUUCCGUAUCCCACCCCCCCCCCCCCCCUUGGAUGGUGUUCUGCUUCUGGCAGCAGCAGCCCCUCCCCCCUACUUGUAGGUCCAGCAGGCGGUGGCCCAGCCCUGUCCCUUGCAGAGCUCCUUGUGCUUCAAGAAGCAGCUCUGGACGCGGAACUUGCGUCCGCAGUCCUGGCAGGUGUGCAGGUUCCCGUCGUGGGUCUUCAUGUGCUCCGUCAGGUGGUGCUUCAGCUUGAACUUCUUGGGGCAGACGGAGCAGCCGAAGGGCCUCAGGCUGAAGGUCAGCAUGAUGUGCCGGUCCCGCUUGGGCUUCACGGCGAAGCGCUUCCCGCACAGGCAGCCGAACUUCUUCCCGUCCGGCGCGGACAUCAGCUUGACGGGCGCGUGCACCACCUGGCCGUGCACGGUGUGGCCCAGGAUCUCGUUGCCGUGCAGGUCCACGGGCUUCCACGAGCUCUCGGGGAAAGCUGCCACGGAGUCGGCGGAAAGAGCCGUGGACGCCCCGCCGGGCAGCGGGAGGUAGCCGAGCGGCUCCCCGGCCUGGAUCUCCGGCUGGCAGAGGCCCGGCACCUCAGUCACGCCGGGGGACUUCAGGAAGCCGGCCUCGGAGAGGCAGGAGGCCGGGCCGCCCCCCAGAGCGGAGGAAGGGGCCUCCUCGGGGUCAAAGCGCUCCUGCUUGAUGAAGAAGACCUUGGGGGCCUCGUGGGGCGAAGCGAAGGCCGGGCCCGGCUCCCUGGACCCUUUGCCAGGACGGGCCCUGCCGCGGCGGUCCUCUUCCUCCGCCACCACCACCUCCUCCUCCUCCUCGUCCAAAACCACCUUCACCAGCCGGUCAGCCGAGCCGCUGGUGCAGAUCUGGGCCUGCCGCUCCUCCUCUUCCUCCUCCUCCUCUUCUUCCUCCUCCUCUUCUUCCUCCUGGGACACCCGGAUCUUCACCACCUCCUCCUCCUCCAGGCGGUGCGGGCGGCGGGCGGACCCUCCUCCUCCUCCUCCGUCCUCCCGGAGGCCCGGGCGGUGGCUGCUGCUGCUGGGGGUCUCGGCGGCGGCGGCGGCGGCGCGGGGGGUCCAGGGGCCGCGGGCGUAGGCGAGGGGCCCCCCGGCCGCCUCCAGCUCCUUGAGGACGCCCGAGCACUGGUCCACCACCUGCCACAUCUGCAGCCCGCUGGCCGCCAGCAGGUGCCCCGGGAGGGCGUCGAGCAGCAGCCGCAGCCGCCCCGAGUAGAUGAGCUGCAGCAGGUUCUCGAAGGCCUCGGGCUCGAUGGCGCCGGGCAGGACGAGGCGGCCGGCGUCGCGGAGCAGCAGCUUGUCGUGGAAGUAGGGCGAGGCGGCGGCCAGGACGCUCUUGUGCGCCUGGAAGACGCGGCCCUGCACGUGCACCGACAGGUCGCAGAACUUGCCCUCCAGCCGGUGCCGGUUCAGCGACUCCAGCAGCCCCGCCGCGUAGUGCGGGAACUCGAUCUGCACGCUGCGCGCGCCCGCCGCCGCCGCCUCCAUGGCCGCCGCUGCUGCCGCCGCCGCCGCCGCCGCGGGAAAAGCCCAGGCGAGCCUCCCCGGGAACUGGGGGCACCCUCUGCGCACGCGCG